GACGAACGCUGGCGGCGUGCUUAACACAUGCAAGUCGAACGGUGAAGCGCCGACCUUGUUGGUGGGUGUGGAUGAGUGGCGAGCGGGUGAGUAACACGUGAAUAUCCUGCUACCUCCGGCUGGAUAACCGCAUGCAAGAGUGACUACUACGGGAUAUUCUGAAUCUGUCGCUUGAUGAGUCUGGGAAGGAUAUGGUUUCGGUGGUGGAUGGGUUCGCGGCCCAUCAGCUUGUUGGUGGGGUGAUGGCCUACCAAGGCGGUGACGGGUAGCCGGCCUGAGAGGGUGGACGGUCACACUGGGACUGAGACACGGCCCAGACUCCUACGGGAGGCAGCAGUGGGGAAUAUUGCACAAUGGGCGCAAGCCUGAUGCAGCGACGCCGCGUGAGGGAUGGAGGCCUUCGGGUUGUGAACCUCUUUCGCCAGUGAAGCAGGCCUGCCUCGUUUGUGGGUGGGUUGACGGUAGCUGGAGAAGAAGCGCCGGCUAACUACGUG
RNAcentral lists this ribosomal RNA (494 nucleotides) under uncultured bacterium. RNAcentral describes it as "partial 16S ribosomal RNA". It matches the Rfam family "Bacterial small subunit ribosomal RNA", at positions 28 to 507 of the family's 1533-position model. The record is from RNAcentral.